CUUGCUAAUUGGUUGAACGCGGCACGAAUGGCGAAGGAACGAGCACCCCCCUUCGUUAAGCGGAAACAGGUUCAAAGAAGUCAUGAACCCAUCAUUUUGUAGAAUAGCAGUUUCAAAAACACUGGUUAUGGUAGCUUACAUUUGAAGGGUACAAUCAGGGCUGCAUUGUGGUCUGUAGUGUCCAAUCACCGAGUAGAUAAAAGAACUGGAAGUUAUUUAGGAAAAUUGCUUCUAGGCUAGUGAAGUGUUUCGUUUUCAAUUUAUGUUAGUCAGUAACGGGUUGGUGUUUACCAUCUUUGAGUUAGCUAUAAUGGUAACUGUACACCAUAGACAUAAUAAAGAGUAGACGCCGCAUUGGCUGCUGGGGCGCGAGAAAUACGGCCGCCAUGUUUGACCGGUCAUACUCCUAUUUGCGUAGCAGCAGAAGCAACGAUACCAGAGCACUAUGGAGCAUACUCCUGCUCAUAUCGGCGGACCAUCGAAAGCAGGGCUCGGGGGAUUACUUUUCACAAGUUCAGCCAAGAUCACUUGGAGCUCCUAUUUAAUUCAAUCAGAGCGUCAGGUGCUGAGUGCUGCAGAGAGGGUGAUCCGCCAAGCUUCACCAAUGCCAGCUCCUAAGGUGUCGACAGUCACAGACAUCGUCCGGGAGCAGAUUGGAACGGAGGAUGUUUUUCUGCUUGGGGAACACAUUGAGGAGACUCAGUUUGGCAUCGACAACCAUCAUUCUGACUUGUUGUCAUUGGUUGUGUCUGUGUUUCUCAAAAUAAGGCUGCACCACAUUACCAAACUCACCUCUCUUGAACUGCAGAAAGGGAGCACGAGGAAGAACUGUCCUCUUUCAGGGGUUUUAGAGCGUGUGCAUGUGUGUGGUUCCACGACAAUUCAAGACUUUAAUCCUAAAUUCCAGCAUCCCAAAACUAAUUCUAAGCUUUAUCUGUACUUUAACCUUACUCAUCACAUAUAGUAUCUUUAUGUCAUAUCUGUCAUCAUUCUGACAAGAUUAACACUGAAUCUGAAAGCAAUGGCUUAAAACUGCCUGAAAACAGUGGUCUGUCACAUUUUAUGUGAAUACUGCUGUAAGUGUUGUUGGGUCUGUAAAUACCUCUGUUUGUUUGUGUUUCAUGAACUCUAGCCUCAUGGUGUGUCUCCAGGAAUCCAAAUGUUGGUCUCCUUUACCUUACACUAAGUUUGUGAGCUUGUGUAUAAUGAAGUUUAUCUUUACAUUAUGUCCUUGUUAUUGUCUUAGCCCUGAUCCCUUUCCCUCUGGGUUCUGAAAAGCACUUGUAACUGUGUUUUGAAAAUUGCUACAUUAAUUAAAUUUGCAGACUUUUCAAGGGAGUUUCAACAAAGUAAAUGUGUAGUUUAAAUAAAAACAGUCACUUUUCAUUUCAUCCUGCUAUUUUAGACUGGGACCCAUGUGAGUAUGUUGGGAUGGGGGCUGUGAAAUGAGAGAGAGAGAAAUAUAUAUUUCUGACUUUACUGCCACUAUUUACAUUAGGUGUUUCAAUCAGAAUGAUAGUCAAACUGGAAAUGUUCCUGUUUUUCUCCCUUUUUGGGGAUUAUGUUCACAGUUUUUGAUGAAUAUAAAAAUAUUUCUGACUUUACUGCCACUAUUUACACAUUAGGUGUUUCAAUCAGAAUGAUAGUCAAACUGGAAAUGUUCCUGUUUUUCUCCCUUUUUGGGGAUUAUGUUCACAGUUUUGAUGAAUAUAAAACUAUGAAUAUUAAAAUACGUCGAACCAUG
Esox lucius (northern pike) is the source of this 1744-nucleotide long non-coding RNA. The record is from Ensembl. NCBI's taxonomy places the organism in Eukaryota, Metazoa, Chordata, Actinopteri, Esociformes, Esocidae.